UGCAUAGGCGGGUUUCUAAGUCAGAGGUGAAAGCCUGGAGCUCAACUCCAGAACUGCCUUUGAUACUGGAAGUCUUGAGUAUGGCAGAGGUGAGUGGAACUGCGAGUGUAGAGGUGAAAUUCGUAGAUAUUCGCAAGAACACCAGUGGCGAAGGCGGCUCACUGGGCCAUUACUGACGCUGAGGCACGAAAGCGUGGGGAGCAAACA
RNAcentral lists this ribosomal RNA (207 nucleotides) under uncultured bacterium. RNAcentral's name for it is "partial 16S ribosomal RNA". It matches the Rfam family "Bacterial small subunit ribosomal RNA", at positions 568 to 774 of the family's 1533-position model. The record is from RNAcentral.